RNAcentral lists this non-coding RNA (120 nucleotides) under uncultured Eubacterium sp. RNAcentral's name for it is "FMN riboswitch (RFN element)". It matches the Rfam family "FMN riboswitch aptamer (RFN element)". From Rfam's summary of the family: The RFN element is a highly conserved domain that is found frequently in the 5'-untranslated regions of prokaryotic mRNAs that encode for flavin mononucleotide (FMN) biosynthesis and transport proteins. This element is a metabolite-dependent riboswitch that directly binds FMN in the absence of proteins. The record is from RNAcentral. Lineage: Bacteria; Bacillati; Bacillota; Clostridia; Eubacteriales; Eubacteriaceae.
AUCUCGGGGCAGGGUUUGAUUCCCGACCGGCGGUAUAGCCCGCGAGCUUUAUGUGUUAAGUCACAAAAGGCAGAUCUUGUUCGAUUCAAGAGCCGACAGUAUAGUCUGGAUGAGAGAGAU